Molecule: long non-coding RNA, 249 nt
Filed under: Olea europaea (common olive)
Lineage: Eukaryota; Viridiplantae; Streptophyta; Magnoliopsida; Lamiales; Oleaceae
Description: long non-coding RNA (OEUR_LNC012983)
Source: RNAcentral
GCCAUUGGAAGAGAUCCAGAUUCCUGGGAGGAUCCAUUGAGUUUCAAGCCCGAAAGGUUCUUGAAAUCAAGCAUUGAGUACAAGGGACAACAUUUUGAGUUGAUCCCAUUUGGUUCAGGAAGAAGGAUUUGUGUAGGGUUCCCCUUGGCUCAUAGGGUGGUUCAUCUCACCAUAGCGACCCUGGUCCAGGCUUUCGACUGGGAUCUUGGGACAGGUGUCAAACCCGAACACAUUGACCUGCAAGAGAGG